AAACCUUUACACUGCACGCCAGUGCGAUAAGGGGACUCCAAGUGCGAGGGCAUAUCGUCCUCGCUAUCCUGUACUGUAGGGUAGUACAGUAUCAAGAGCUGGGCAAGACCGGUGCCAGCCGCCGCGGUAAUACCGGCAGCUCGAGUGAUGGCCAAUCUUAUUGGGCCUAAAGCGUCCGUAGCUGGCCGCGCAAGUCCGUCGGGAAAUCCAUCAGCCCAACUGAUGGGCGUCCGGCGGAAACUGCACGGCUUGGGACCGGAAGGCUCGAGAGGUACGUCCGGGGUAGGAGUGAAAUCCCGUAAUCCCGAACGGACCACCGAUGGCGAAAGCAUCUCGAGAAAACGGAUCCGACAGUGAGGGACGAAAGCUAGGGUCUCGAACCGGAUUAGAUACCCGGGUAGUCCUAGCCGUAAACGAUGUUCGCUAGGUGUGGCACUGGCUACGAGCCAGUGCUGCGCCGUAGGAAGCCGAGAAGCGAACCGCCUGGAA
RNAcentral lists this ribosomal RNA (489 nucleotides) under uncultured haloarchaeon. RNAcentral's name for it is "bacterial SSU rRNA". It matches the Rfam family "Archaeal small subunit ribosomal RNA", at positions 344 to 833 of the family's 1478-position model. Lineage: Archaea; Methanobacteriati; Methanobacteriota; Halobacteria; Halobacteriales; Halobacteriaceae. The record is from RNAcentral.